Molecule: ribosomal RNA, 254 nt
Filed under: uncultured bacterium
Lineage: Bacteria
Description: partial 16S ribosomal RNA
Rfam family: Bacterial small subunit ribosomal RNA
Source: RNAcentral
UACGUAGGGUCCAAGCGUUAUCCGGAAUCACUGGGCGUAAAGCGUGCGUAGGUGGUUUGUUAAGUGUAUUGCGAAAUCCUGUGGCUCAACCAUAUGGACUGUAAUGCAUACUGGCAAACUAGAGGACGGCAGAGGCAAGUGGAAUUACUGGUGUAGCAGUGAAAUGCGUAGAGAUCAGUAGGAACACCAAUGGCGAAGGCAGCUUGCUGGGCCGACCCUGACGCUAAGGCACGAAAGCGUGGGGAGCGAACAGG